Spodoptera frugiperda (fall armyworm) is the source of this 2800-nucleotide long non-coding RNA. RefSeq lists it as uncharacterized. The record is from RefSeq and is a predicted model, not a curated record. Lineage: Eukaryota; Metazoa; Arthropoda; Insecta; Lepidoptera; Noctuidae. The transcript is spliced from 2 exons.
UUUUAUAAUGUAAACUUAUUUUAUACAUUUCUGCAAUAAAGUAUAAAUAAAAUAAAUAUCUAAAGAUUUGCAAAACCUCUCUGUCGACACGGACAACGAACUGAGAUUAAUGAUAACAAUAAAUGAACUUUUGUUAUCAUUCAUCAAGUAAUCAUUAGAAAUAAAAUGUACACUAUGGGAUAAAAAAUACUAGAAAAAUCACGAGAUUCUUUCUCGGAAAAUGUUUCCAUUGCAAACGCAAUCUGAUUGGAAAUACCUAACCGUUUUGACACAAUGGACAAAAGAAAUUUGUCGCAAUUGUGAUGUAGACACUAAAUUUGGUAGUGCACUCGUGGAGCAGUAAUUUUCACUUUACUAGAAUGAAUCCUUUUUAACUGUUGAACCAUUUUGCAUAACAAACGCGCAAUGAAUAGAGCACAACAAAGAUGCUUAAUUACAAGACUUCGCUUUGUUAAUUAAAUAUUUCCUGAAUAAUUUUGGCAAGAAAUUGUAUUAUUGAGUUUGGUUCUUUAGGGUCGAUAUAAAUUUCAUGUUGCCUACUGCCUAUUAUAGGAAGAUAAAGUUUGCCAUGGUUGGAUUAGAUUUUGGUUUGAGGCAUCAUUUGAUUAGAUAUUUAUUUUAGUAAUCUACAAAAGCUAAUUUAAGAAAAAAAGAUUGAAUUACAUCAUAUCAGGAACAGAAAAAAUAUUUUGUGUUGUUACCACCAGCAGAUAUCGUUUUAUACCUUAUUUCAUAAGACCUAAACGCGCUUAAUGCGACUACAUAAAUAUACUCAUUUAAUAUUUUUAGAUUAAUGAUGGAACAUCAACGAGUCCAUAAAUAACAAACUCAUUUAAUUUAAACGAAGCUGUGUACUUACGCGUUAUUCUAAUAGUUACAACAAUAGCGAAUUUAGAUGUUAAUUUGAACUGUAAUUAAGUUUUAUUGGGCGGCGUGAUUGAGGUGGUAAAAAAAUAAAUAGUGUUCACAAGACAUGGGAAUCGCAGGUGGUUGGCUCGGUUAUUUCCGGUUUGUCCAGUUUUGGACUGAUGUCCGCGUGGGAACUAACGGUGCCGGCUUGUAAGACGAUUUGUCCAUUGACCAUUGUACUUGAUGAACACGAGAAAAUUAUUAUAAAAUAUCCAUUAUUUAUAUUCCUCAAUAUGAUGAUACGAACAUUAAAUUCCUCAAAUAUAUUGUAGUUAAAUACUUUAUUAUUUUACAAAAAUGUCCGCGGAAUGCUAGAAGCAUUUCGUUUGUUGACGAUCUGACAAUGGCUAUGAAAUACUUGUUUUGGAUUCUAGUAAUAGAUCAUUAGUCCAUUACACGAAAUUCUAAAGUUUAUUUAUACAAUAGUGUUUACAUAAUAAGCUUCGCUUUCACUGCAGAAAUUAUGUCACUCAUAAAUCCAUCUAGUAUAUUUUCCGAUUUCAUUUUGAACAAAACUAAUUUUAUUUUCCAAAGAUAUUUCAAGACGUUCAAUUAUUUUGUAUUGUCAGUGCAGGGAUAUUGACUACAAAUCGACAAUGGUGUGCGUGGGUGGCCAUAGCCAUUGCCUGUGGCAUACAACCAAUUUCUACCUCAAAGCGACGCGACGCUUGCGUAGCUAGUUGAGUAUCAAGUGAACUCGAUUCGCACAGCGGCUGGCGGCUGUCGGCUGUCGGCUCAGCCAGGCGGUUGCUCUGCUCUAGCGGUCAGUUUUGCUCCGAGCGCCAACACAUGUGCACGUGUUAUUAGCUCCACGAUCACUUGUUUACAAAUCGAAGGUAGUGCAAUAUCGCCGUCAACAGGAUAACCGUGACAGAAUCAAGGAGUCAAUCAUUAAAAUGGAAAGCUGGUUGGGCGAUGUCAAACGCGUCAGAAUCCCGCGGCCAAAAUUCGGGAACAAUAAAUAUCCCGUGGAGCCACCUAAGGAUUAUUUGGAAGAUUGCGGAGGGGAUCUUGGCAAGCAACGUCGCCAUGACAAAGACCUGACUAAGGCGACAGAAGAGCUACGUCGAUCGCUGCAAGAGAAACUAUGACCUAUCAACUGAGCAUUAGGUCUAUUUUAGAUUUAACUCUAGCCAAUGGCUUAAUGACCCCAUACACUCCCACUUAUACGAUUACACACGCACUUUGACGGACAUUGUUCGGAACAAAUGAUCGUGAUUUGCUAAAUUUACGAAGUGUUGUGGACACGGGUUGCGCGUGUUAAUAUCGUCCGGGUUAUUGUUAUCAAUUAUGUAGUCUAUAGUAAUAGUGUUAUUAUUUUGUUAAACAUUCAAUUAAGGAGUGGUUCUUGUAGAGGUGGUAAAUAUAUGAAUACCACAUCUACGUAACACAAUGAAAUUGGUGUAGAAGAAUGAGGUCGCUUUGAUACUUUUGACACACAUACUAUCCAUGUCACGGUAUAAUGUAAGAUUUAAAAGUGAGUGGAUUUGAAUGUCAAAUGCCCCUGCUUUACUUAUCAGAAACGAUAAACAUGUCGGUCGUGUUUUGUUACAAUAUAAAAUAUACAACUACCUGUUACAAAGUUACAAUGAAUAGAGACCUCGUCUGUCUUAUGUUAAAACAUAUUUUUAUGUAAAAAUGCUGUCAGUAUUAUUUUACAUAGAUUUUGUACACUUGUUAACUUCAUCUGUAAACAAUAAAAUUGUUUCACUUGCCAUAAGGUAAAAGAAUCAUGCUACAUAUAAUAUACUGAUGUGACUGUUAAACCAGUAUCCUUAUUAACUGCGUAUUAGACAUAGCUAAGGUAAUUAGACUGAUAUCAAUUUAGAAUAAGUUUAUUGAAUCUCGAUAGUAUUAUAAUACUUUUAUAAAUAAAUAUUGGUAUAUCGUU